UGGAGCUUGCUCCGGAAGACUUAGUGGCGAACGGGUGCGUAACACGUGAGAAAUCUGCCUCGAACUUCGGAAUAACAGUUGGAAACGACUGCUAAUACCGGAUGCCUUCAUUUUGACCGCAUGGUUGUUUGAAGAAAGAUUUAUCGGUUUGGGAGGGUCUCGCGGCCUAUCAGCUUGUUGGAGAGGUAACGGCUCACCAAGGCUUCGACGGGUAGCUGGUCUGAGAGGAUGAUCAGCCACACUGGAACUGAGACACGGUCCAGACUCC
This 268-nucleotide ribosomal RNA is filed under the name unidentified marine bacterioplankton. RNAcentral's name for it is "partial 16S ribosomal RNA". It matches the Rfam family "Bacterial small subunit ribosomal RNA", at positions 74 to 339 of the family's 1533-position model. The record is from RNAcentral.